CAUGGACGGAGCGCAGGAAGCGCAAUGGACAGAACAGGGACACCGUAGGAUUUCCUGCCAGGAUGGCGGGGUGAAAUGGAAGUCACAGGGAAACAGUCUGGAAAACCCCGCUUCGGCGGGGUUUU
RNAcentral lists this small RNA (125 nucleotides) under Pseudomonas entomophila L48. Lineage: Bacteria; Pseudomonadati; Pseudomonadota; Gammaproteobacteria; Pseudomonadales; Pseudomonadaceae. The record is from RNAcentral.